Vidua chalybeata is the source of this 1680-nucleotide long non-coding RNA. RefSeq lists it as uncharacterized. The transcript has 3 exons. The record is from RefSeq and is a predicted model, not a curated record. NCBI's taxonomy places the organism in Eukaryota, Metazoa, Chordata, Aves, Passeriformes, Viduidae.
AAACUCUUCCCUUGCUUCUAACAAGCCCUCCUGACUCUGAAUGACCUCUCAGUUCUCCACAGAAGCGAGGGCCGCAGCUCAUGGAAAGCCAGCAUCUCUCCCGAGCGAGCCAAGGGCAGAGCAGCAGCACACACAAAGGUGAUGGGUUCCUCCACAGGCAGCCACACGCACGCACCGUGCGCCGCCUCUCCGGGCUACCUGUCUCGUCUUGUUUUAGCCGUUUCUAAUGAGCAGGCAGGGUACUGGAGCAUGCAGAAAUCUUGCUUUUUGAAGCACCCUGAAAACAGGCUUGUAUUUUUUUGGUACCUUGGUGGCCCAGAGGAACUUGUCAGGGAGCAAGCACCAAAUAGGCAGUAAAAUAGGCACAGCUAUGGGGGAACCUCAGUUUCAUGCUUCUUGGGCUUCUCAGUGACCUACAAGAACCAAGAAACACCAGAAGAGACUGAAACUGCCUCUCUCUUGCUCAUUCUUCAGUGCCAGAUCACAUCAGGCUGUAAGAUACCUGAGGACUAUUUGUUUGCAGACUGCUGGAAGACAGAGAGGGAGUCACCUAUUGUAAAAAACUCAAAAGAACAUGAAAAGGUCUUCUUGUGAUCAUCAAAAUCAUCAGCAAAGUAGCAGAACCUGUCAGUAGAAGUUUGUGUUCGAUUCAGUGCAAGUCAUCUGCCUUGUGAGCCUAUCUGAUACUUGGAUCAAAGCUGAACUGCAGUCAGAAGGAAAGAAGGAAGUGUUCAGAAGAAUUGAAACGAGGCUGGAUUCUCAGAAACACAAAGACAAAUCCAUUUCCUCAGCAAGCUGAUGCAACUCUGAAGAUGCCAGUAAGGGAUGAACCAAUUCUGAAAUUAAUUUGGCUUGCAUUCUCUGACAGUCUCCAUUAUUUUACUGUCCUCCUUUAUUCUUUUUUAAGUUAAGUAAGUCUGCAGAUCUGUAAGUAUUUUGGAUUUGCUUGGGACAAAGGAUGGAACAGACUUGCAAAGUCUGUCUUCAAACCCAUUCUGGGAAGGACAGACUCAUUGCCACUCAGCCUGCUUGGGUUAGUGAGUGAAUUUAGAAAUGGCAAAGGCAAUCAGCUGAGGGCAGAGAGGGGAAACCAUCAUAGUUACCACUUUGGGAGGAAAUAAAAGCCGAGUUUGUUAGCUCAGAGGAGGACAGUUUUGAAAAUUCCUGUUUGCGCACAGAGGCCAGCAGAGCUACCCUGUGUUGAGGAUAGGCUCAUUUGUACAUCUGGAGUGGGUCUUGGGUAUGCUUUACUCUGGAGCUGGAAAGGAUGUCUUCUGUGGCACAUAUUUGAAAACUGAAAGACAAGCUGAAAGUUUCUUAAUCCAUUGACUACUGAUUUGAGCCACAAGUAACACAGCUCCAACUGUGUGAUGGACUGAAGUGUAUGCUCCCCCUUCUAUUUUAAAAACACUCUCUCUGAAUUAAAAUUUAUGCUGUUCAUGCACUAGUACUAAUGCUUGAGAAAUAGUGGCCAGCUUUCUGAGCUGCCUAGCUGAAUUCACAGAUAAAAUUCUCGUGACUCAUGGACAAUUCUCUUCUAGCUUCCUGGUGAGGUUGUAGAGAAAAUACUGCUAGAUUACUAACCCUAACAAUAGCAUGACUUGGAAAGAAGCCUUUGAAAAUAAACUCUUAAUGUAUCAAAUAAAUCUAUGUGAGAUGCAAAGCUAGAGUUCACUCUUC